This 513-nucleotide RNase MRP RNA is filed under the name Candidozyma auris. Its description in RNAcentral is "Candida auris RNase MRP". It matches the Rfam family "RNase MRP". From Rfam's summary of the family: RNase MRP is an enzymatically active ribonucleoprotein with two distinct roles in eukaryotes. In mitochondria it plays a direct role in the initiation of mitochondrial DNA replication. Lineage: Eukaryota; Fungi; Ascomycota; Pichiomycetes; Serinales; Metschnikowiaceae. The record is from Rfam by way of RNAcentral.
UUCAUAGACAACGAUUUGUUUUCGAAGCCUACGUAAUGGCGUUUUCGCCAGGUCUGCAAAAUGACUAAUGCUUCGGGGAAAGUCUCCGGCCGUGACAGCGGAAACGCAACGGAAGAAUUCCUCCGUUUGCACGAUGGCGGGCUGAAGGAAUAAGGCUCGUCACUUUAUCAGCAGUGGCCGCUGGUCUUGGUUUCAAGGAUACGUCAUUUACCUCUGUGGUUUUCUCCAUCACUUAAAUCCAAUACCUGCUUGUUCCUUUGAACUUUAUGAGCUUUGCUCAGGGCAGUUUGUUGGUGGUGAAAACGAGGAAUCACGAGGUCUUUGGCUGUACUUGUUUCUCACAACUGAGCUCACGACCGCUGUUGCUGUGUGGGCACUCUUGAUGCUGCCAUCGUUGCUUCCUCUGGAUUUUUCUGGAGUUUUGUCUUUCGGCACUGGGACGACGUGUCCUAAACGAUAGGUAUAGCAAAUGGCCAAUUUGGCUAACCCAAUGGAGCUCACUCUUGUCUAUGA